Molecule: ribosomal RNA, 448 nt
Filed under: Aphelenchoides sp. TG102006
Lineage: Eukaryota; Metazoa; Nematoda; Chromadorea; Rhabditida; Aphelenchoididae
Description: eukaryotic LSU rRNA
Rfam family: Eukaryotic large subunit ribosomal RNA
Source: RNAcentral
GAAUUCGCGAUGGGCGUCGGUUGUGAGUUGUGGUUGCGGAUGGCACAUGUGUCUUCCGUUUCCGCGGCCUACGAUCGGCGUUCGUUGCCCCGGCACUCGACUCGGUGUAUAGUCGGUCACCCAUUCGACCCGUCUUGAAACACGGACCAAGGAGUUUAAGGUGUACGCGAGUCAUUGAGCUGCGAAACUCAAAGGCGUAAUGAAAGUGAGACAUUGGAUGUCGACGAUGUGAGCGUUGGGCGUUUCGACGUCCGGCGCGCAACAUCGCCCCGUGACUAGGACUUGUUCUGUUGCGGAGGUUGAGCGUACGCUUUGAGACCCGAAAGAUGGUGAACUAUGCCCGAACAGGAUGAAGCCAGAGGAAACUCUGGUGGAAGUCCGAAGCGGUUCUGACGUGCAAAUCGAUCGUCUGAUUUGGGUAUAGGGGCGCCAGACUAUUCGACCCAUC